AGAGUUUGAUCAUGGCUCAGGAUGAACGCUGGCGGCGUGCCUAACACAUGCAAGUCGAGCGAUCUUCUUCGGAAGAGAGCGGCGGACGGGUGAGUAACGCGUGGGUAACCUGCCUCAUACACAUGGAUAACAUACCGAAAGGUAUGCUAAUACAAGAUGAUAUAAGAGAUUCGCAUGGAUUUCUUAUCAAAGCUCCGACGGUAUGAGAUGGACCCGCGUCUGAUUAGCUAGUUGGUAAGGUAACGGCUUACCAAGGCGACGAUCAGUAGCCGACCUGAGAGGGUGAUCGGCCACAUUGGAACUGAGACACGGUCCAAACUCCUACGGGAGGCAGCAGUGGGGAAUAUUGCACAAUGGGCGAAAGCCUGAUGCAGCAACGCCGCGUGAGCGAUGAAGGCCUUCGGGUCGUAAAGCUCUGUCCUCAAGGAAGAUAAUGACGGUACUUGAGGAGGAAGCCCCGGCUAACUACGUGCCAGCAGCCGCGGUAAUACGUAGGGGGCUAGCGUUAUCCGGAUUUACUGGGCGUAAAGGGUGCGUAGGUGGUUUCUUAAGUCAGGAGUGAAAGGCUACGGCUCAACCGUAGUAAGCUCUUGAAACUGGGAAACUUGAGUGCAGGAGAGGAAAGUGGAAUUCCUAGUGUAGCGGUGAAAUGCGUAGAUAUUAGGAGGAACACCAGUAGCGAAGGCGGCUUUCUGGACUGUAACUGACACUGAGGCACGAAAGCGUGGGGAGCAAACAGGAUUAGAUACCCUGGUAGUCCACGCCGUAAACGAUGAGUACUAGGUGUCGGGGGUUACCCCCCUCGGUGCCGCAGCUAACGCAUUAAGUACUCCGCCUGGGGAGUACGCUCGCAAGAGUGAAACUCAAAGGAAUUGACGG
RNAcentral lists this ribosomal RNA (879 nucleotides) under uncultured bacterium. Its description in RNAcentral is "bacterial SSU rRNA". It matches the Rfam family "Bacterial small subunit ribosomal RNA", at positions 8 to 916 of the family's 1533-position model. The record is from RNAcentral.